This 858-nucleotide ribosomal RNA is filed under the name Paraburkholderia sp. RNAcentral's name for it is "bacterial SSU rRNA". It matches the Rfam family "Bacterial small subunit ribosomal RNA", at positions 23 to 882 of the family's 1533-position model. The record is from RNAcentral. Lineage: Bacteria; Pseudomonadati; Pseudomonadota; Betaproteobacteria; Burkholderiales; Burkholderiaceae.
CCCCUAAUGACGCUGCGGCAUGCCUUACACAUGCAAGUCGAACGGCAGCACGGGGGCAACCCUGGUGGCGAGUGGCGAACGGGUGAGUAAUACAUCGGAACGUGUCCUGUAGUGGGGGAUAGCCCGGCGAAAGCCGGAUUAAUACCGCAUACGCUCUACGGAGGAAAGGGGGGGAUCUUAGGACCUCCCGCUACAGGGGCGGCCGAUGGCAGAUUAGCUAGUUGGUGGGGUAAAGGCCUACCAAGGCGACGAUCUGUAGCUGGUCUGAGAGGACGACCAGCCACACUGGGACUGAGACACGGCCCAGACUCCUACGGGAGGCAGCAGUGGGGAAUUUUGGACAAUGGGGGAAACCCUGAUCCAGCAAUGCCGCGUGUGUGAAGAAGGCCUUCGGGUUGUAAAGCACUUUUGUCCGGAAAGAAAACCUCUGGGUUAAUACCCCGGGGGGAUGACGGUACCGGAAGAAUAAGCACCGGCUAACUACGUGCCAGCAGCCGCGGUAAUACGUAGGGUGCAAGCGUUAAUCGGAAUUACUGGGCGUAAAGCGUGCGCAGGCGGUCCGCUAAGACAGAUGUGAAAUCCCCGGGCUUAACCUGGGAACUGCAUUUGUGACUGGCGGGCUAGAGUAUGGCAGAGGGGGGUAGAAUUCCACGUGUAGCAGUGAAAUGCGUAGAGAUGUGGAGGAAUACCGAUGGCGAAGGCAGCCCCCUGGGCCAAUACUGACGCUCAUGCACGAAAGCGUGGGGAGCAAACAGGAUUAGAUACCCUGGUAGUCCACGCCCUAAACGAUGUCAACUAGUUGUCGGGUCUUCAUUGACUUGGUAACGUAGCUAACGCGUGAAGUGACCGCCUGGAGUA